Molecule: long non-coding RNA, 3473 nt
Filed under: Marmota monax (woodchuck)
Lineage: Eukaryota; Metazoa; Chordata; Mammalia; Rodentia; Sciuridae
Source: RNAcentral
GCUUUGGGUAGUGCAAUCAAAAUUAUUAAUUCUAAGAUAUGUAAUCAUGUAACAUUUCUUUUAUGAAAAAAGUGUGAAUCAAGUUAAAACUGUGCAUGGACUAUACAAAGAUAUGGUCUGUAAUACAUACAUAGCACCAAACACAAUCUUUUAAGUGGAAUGGAAGUAUUAUUUUAAACCUAAGAGUUUUAAGCCUUUUUAUUAUUAUUUUAAGGCUUUUCAGUGAACUUCACUUAAUAUUCUUUCACUUUGGUUAUAGUCAGAAGCGUAGCAGACAGGAGACAUCAAGAAUAGUGUGUCCCCCCUCACCCUUCUCUUAACUUGUCAUCCAGGCUGCAGGAUUAGAUGCUUAAAUGAAGCAACUUUGUUAGUUACCCUGUUGCCCUUGUUUUCUUUUUCUUUUUCUUGUGGUAGAGGUUUCCAAUUUCAUAAAUGCCAUGCUCCAGCCUCAGGAACACAUCACUGCUCAGGAGAUCAACAGCCACUUCUGUCAAGAGCUGAUCUACAAGUGGAAUGAGAGAAUGGAGGAGCAAGGGAAGGCACUUUCGGAGGAGUUCCCUGACAAGGGCUUUUUCUUUGUUUUCCGAGCUGGCAGCCUCUGAUUAGAUACUCUGGGAUCUGCCGCCUCUGUGGGGGGAAUGUUGAGGCAAAGCCCCUACUCAGGACCUGUGUUGACAUCAGUAGUGACUCACUUCAGUUGCAGAGUAGCUCCAGCUGGUGCUGGGAAUCCAAUGUGGUGGAAAUGUUGCUGGAGGGCCCAGUGUAUGUGACAUUAUUCAUUGCUUUCCCUCCACACAGGGGCUUAGUGACAUAUGAGUCAGUUGGGAAGGCAUCUCUCUGUCCUGAACUCAGCACUCAAUCCCAGCUUCUUUCUGAUACCUUUUGUUUUUUAAACUGUCACUAAUGUUUGUUUAUCUUCAUUCCCCUUCCUGUGAGCCUCCCAAUGUUAGGUUGACACAUAAGCCAUUGAUAAAUAUUAAUAUACACAUGGAGGGGGGGAAAUUAUUUCCUUUUCUGGGCUUUUUGAAAUAAUUUCUAUCCUGCUUUUGAGUGAUUUUUAACCCAUAAUUCUUUGGAGCCUGAGAAAUGAAGGACAGAAAAGCCAGAGGCUGGGCAGUGUGCAGAAGGACUAGGUUUUGUCCUUUCAGAUCCUUCCACUGUUUUUGUGUGUCAGUCAGCUUCCCAUUGCUGUAACAAAUGCCUGAGACAAAUCAAAAGAAUUAUUUGAUUCACAAUUUCAAAGGUUUCGGUCCAUGAUUACUUGGCUUACUUGCUUUUAGGCCUGUGGUGAGACAGUAUAUCAUGUAUGGCAGACAUACGUGGUGGAGGAAACUGCUCACCUCAUGACAGCUGGUAGGAAAAUAGAAAGAGGAAGAGUGUAGGGUCCCAGUAUUUCCCCUAAUGAAAACCCCAAUGACCUAACUUCCGUUUACUGGGCCCCACCUCUUAAAGAGUCCAACCUCCUCUCAGUGGUGUCACCUACUGGGGACAACACAUAAGCCUUUGGGGCACAUUUAAGAUCCAAACCAUAACUCUUCAUUAAUUUGGACAAGUCACCUUUCUCAGUUUCUUUACCAGCAAAAUGUGAGUUUAGAGAUUAACACUUGCAGAAUAACAGAGUAAAGGCUGCUCCAAACAUGCUCCUCCAUAAAAGGCAAUAAGAACACUAGGAAAAAAUGGUCAAUAUCAACUUUUACAGAGCUCUAGAAAUUAAAUAAAGGCUUGAAACAGCCCAGGGUAUGUUUACUUAAGAAAACUAGAGAUUAGUGGCAUUUAACUUGCUCUAUUUUAUCCUCUUUGUCCCAGCUUCUUCCUAGCUUUGUCUUGAAAAUCCACAACCUUUAAACUCAGAAGCCAUAACAACUGGUUGCUUAAUAAUUACUGGAGGGGAGAUAAUGGGUUUGGAGUUUCCCUGAGGCUCCAUCCUUGAAGAAUCAUUAUUAUUUAAUUUAUCUCAUAGUUCCCUAAAAGUUUCAUUCCAAGCUUAUGUUCAUUUGACCUGACUCAAAGCUCUUUCUCUACAUAGCCAUAUUCUUAGGGGGUUUGUUGAAAAUAGUCAGUGGUAGUGGCAGUAGUCAUAGCUGCCCAUGACAGCAAUAAUUGGGGCUUACAACAGACUGACCUCCCCCCCCGCAAAGAAAAAGCAAAAUGGAUAUGAGAUGUACCAUAUGGGAUUUUGAAAAGUUCUCACAUAUUAUUGGGAAUCUCAAGGGCCAAGUGUAAGAGAAAGGCUAUGUACAUGCCCAGGAAAGACCUCAGAAGGUCCUAAUCUCUCACGUCUGUCUGCACAGAAGAAAAACUAAGGCAGGGUUGUAAACUGCCUGCUGGAGCAUUGAAGGCAUGCUCCAAACUCAUAUAGCCUCUCUUUGAAGAGGCUGGGAGACUUACUGGUUGAAUAUGUUUAAGGAAAUCUCUGAACAGUCAUUAGCUGACCACUAAACUAACUGACUAGAGACUCCAGUGGCCACACCUAUCAAAGAAUCCUGACUUUACAGAAAGUCCUAAGUGACUAAACAAACAAACAAACAAAUGGCAAAAUAAAAAUAACAACAGCAGAUAAACAAUGAUGUACCCUGGGAAGAAGGGUUGGCUUCAUCUAAGUUCCCAGAUUUGUGGAUCUAAAGUUGUUCAUCAUAUUCUUUUAUUAUCCUUUUACUAUUCCUGGGAUCAGUAGUGAUGAUUCCUCUUUUACUUCCAAUAUUAGCAAUUUGUGUCUUCUCUCUUCCCCUUGUUAGCCUGACUAGAGGUUUAUUAAUUAUAUUGAUCUUUUCAAAGAACCAGUUUUUGGUUUUGUUGACUUUCUGUAUUGAUUUCAUGGUUUUAUUUUCAUGAUUACUGCUUUAAUUUUUCUUAUUUCCUUUCUGCUUGAUUUAUCCUUAAAUUACUCUUCUUUCUGUAGUUUUUGAAGGUGAAACUAGAGUUUUGAGAUGAAUCUUGAUCCACUGCUUCUGCUGCCAGGUGGGGUCUGCACAAGCUGUAGGCCCCUGCGGCCUAGAAGUGUUGCAGUUCUUAAUGGUGGGCCAUGCCCUCCAAUGUUGCAGCAGACCCCAGCAGUUCAUCAUCUAUUUCUUCUUCUUUCAGGGUUCUUGUCUCGUGAAUUUGAAGAAUGAAUGCCACUGAUCAGGACGAGUGAGUGUAAUGUAGGAACAGCACUCUUGCAGUGCAAGGGGGGACCCAAUAGCAGGUGUUCUCUACUGGAGUGUGCUAGUGUAGGGGUUUGUAUAGCACUUGAUUCAGUGCUAUUAGUCCAAACUUAUGCUAAUUAGGACUUGGAAACAUAGUAACACUAUUGGUCAAUUUUUUUUUUAAAUAUUUAUUUUUUAGUUUUCGGUGGACACAACAUCUUUGUUUGUAUGUGGUGCUGAGGAUCGAACCCGGGCCGCACGCAUGCCAGGCGAGCGCACUACCGCCUGAGCCAUAUCCUCAGCCCACUAUUGGUCAUUUUUUGAGUCCCAACUUCCAUUCAAGUUUGC